RNAcentral lists this ribosomal RNA (504 nucleotides) under Lactiplantibacillus plantarum. RNAcentral's name for it is "bacterial SSU rRNA". It matches the Rfam family "Bacterial small subunit ribosomal RNA", at positions 8 to 478 of the family's 1533-position model. The record is from RNAcentral. Lineage: Bacteria; Bacillati; Bacillota; Bacilli; Lactobacillales; Lactobacillaceae.
AGAGUUUGAACCUGGCUCAGGACGAACGCUGGCGGCGUGCCUAAUACAUGCAAGUCGAACGAACUCUGGUAUUGAUUGGUGCUUGCAUCAUGAUUUACAUUUGAGUGAGUGGCGAACUGGUGAGUAACACGUGGGAAACCUGCCCAGAAGCGGGGGAUAACACCUGGAAACAGAUGCUAAUACCGCAUAACAACUUGGACCGCAUGGUCCGAGUUUGAAAGAUGGCUUCGGCUAUCACUUUUGGAUGGUCCCGCGGCGUAUUAGCUAGAUGGUGGGGUAACGGCUCACCAUGGCAAUGAUACGUAGCCGACCUGAGAGGGUAAUCGGCCACAUUGGGACUGAGACACGGCCCAAACUCCUACGGGAGGCAGCAGUAGGGAAUCUUCCACAAUGGACGAAAGUCUGAUGGAGCAACGCCGCGUGAGUGAAGAAGGGUUUCGGCUCGUAAAACUCUGUUGUUAAAGAAGAACAUAUCUGAGAGUAACUGUUCAGGUAUGACGGUAU